This 253-nucleotide ribosomal RNA is filed under the name uncultured bacterium. RNAcentral describes it as "partial 16S ribosomal RNA". It matches the Rfam family "Bacterial small subunit ribosomal RNA", at positions 524 to 776 of the family's 1533-position model. The record is from RNAcentral.
UACGAAGGGUGCAAGCGUUACUCGGAAUUACUGGGCGUAAAGCGUGCGUAGGUGGUUUGUUAAGUCUGAUGUGAAAGCCCUGGGCUCAACCUGGGAACGGCAUUGGAAACUGGCUUACUAGAGUGCGGUAGAGGGGUGUGGAAUUCCCGGUGUAGCAGUGAAAUGCGUAGAUAUCGGGAGGAACAUCUGUGGCAAAGGCGACACCCUGGACCAGCACUGACACUGAGGCACGAAAGCGUGGGGAGCAAACAGG